GGCGAGAUGGUCGAGCGGUCUAAGACGCAAGUUUAAGGAAUUCUCCUUUCUCACAAAUACUUGUCCUUCGGGGCGUGGGUUCGAAUCCCACUUUCGUCA
Non-coding RNA from Acaromyces ingoldii, 99 nucleotides. NCBI's taxonomy places the organism in Eukaryota, Fungi, Basidiomycota, Exobasidiomycetes, Exobasidiales, Cryptobasidiaceae. The record is from the annotation of a RefSeq genome assembly.